AAUCAACGCUGGCGGCGUGCCUCAGACAUGCAAGUCGAACGAUUAAAGCUCUCUUCGGAGAGUGCAUAGAGUGGCGCACGGGUGAGUAACACGUAAGUAAUCUACCUUCGAGUGGGGAAUAACGUCCGGAAACGGGCGCUAAUACCGCAUAAUGCAGCGGCAUCGCAAGAUGACAGUUGUUAAAGGAGCAAUCCGCUUGAAGAGGAGCUUGCGGCAGAUUAGCUAGUUGGUAGGGUAAUGGCCUACCAAGGCUACGAUCUGUAACCGGUCUUAGAGGACGGUCGGUCACACUGACACUGAAUAACGGGUCAGACUCCUACGGGAGGCAGCAGUCGGGAAUUUUGGGCAAUGGGGGAAACCCUGACCCAGCAACGCCGCGUGAAGGAUGAAGUAUUUCGGUAUGUAAACUUCGAAAGAAUAGGAAGAAUUAAUGACGGUACUAUUUAUAAGGUACCGGCUAACUACGUG
This 468-nucleotide ribosomal RNA is filed under the name uncultured bacterium. RNAcentral's name for it is "bacterial SSU rRNA". It matches the Rfam family "Bacterial small subunit ribosomal RNA", at positions 32 to 507 of the family's 1533-position model. The record is from RNAcentral.